This 429-nucleotide ribosomal RNA is filed under the name Gemmatimonadota bacterium. RNAcentral's name for it is "Gemmatimonadetes bacterium partial 16S ribosomal RNA". It matches the Rfam family "Bacterial small subunit ribosomal RNA", at positions 355 to 776 of the family's 1533-position model. The record is from RNAcentral. Lineage: Bacteria; Pseudomonadati; Gemmatimonadota.
UAGGGAAUCUUCGGCAAUGGACGAAAGUCUGACCGAGCAACGCCGCGUGAGUGAAGAAGGUUUUCGGAUCGUAAAACUCUGUUGUUAGAGAAGAACAAGGACGUUAGUAACUGAACGUCCCCUGACGGUAUCUAACCAGAAAGCCACGGCUAACUACGUGCCAGCAGCCGCGGUAAUACGUAGGUGGCAAGCGUUGUACGGAUUUAUUGGGCGUAAAGCGAGCGCAGGCGGUUUCUUAAGUCUGAUGUGAAAGCCCCCGGCUCAACCGGGGAGGGUCAUUGGAAACUGGGAGACUUUAGUGCAGAAGAGGAGAGUGGAAUUCCAUGUGUAGCGGUGAAAUGCGUAGAUAUAUGGAGGAACACCAGUGGCGAAGGCGGCUCUCUGGUCUGUAACUGACGCUGAGGCUCGAAAGCGUGGGGAGCAAACAGG